GGUUAAGCGACUAAGCGUACACGGUGGAUGCCCUGGCAGUCAGAGGCGAUGAAGGGCGUGCUAAUCUGCGAUAAGCGCCGGUAAGGUGAUAUGAACCGUUAUAACCGGCGAUACCCGAAUGGGGAAACCCAGUGUGAUUCGUCACACUAUCAUUAACUGAAUCCAUAGGUUAAUGAGGCGAACCGGGGGAACUGAAACAUCUAAGUACCCCGAGGAAAAGAAAUCAACCGAGAUUCCCCCAGUAGCGGCGAGCGAACGGGGAGGAGCCCAGAGCCUGAAUCAGCAUGUGUGUUAGUGGAAGCGUCUGGAAAGGCGCGCGAUACAGGGUGACAGCCCCGUACACAAAAGCGCAUGUGCUGUGAGCUCGAUGAGUAGGGCGGGACACGUGGUAUCCUGUCUGAAUAUGGGGGGACCAUCCUCCAAGGCUAAAUACUCCUGACUGACCGAUAGUGAACCAGUACCGUGAGGGAAAGGCGAAAAGAACCCCGGCGAGGGGAGUGAAAAAGAACCUGAAACCGUGUACGUACAAGCAGUGGGAGCACAGGUUUACCUGUGUGACUGCGUACCUUUUGUAUAAUGGGUCAGCGACUUAUAUUCUGUAGCAAGGUUAACCGUAUAGGGGAGCCGCAGGGAAACCGAGUCUUAACCGGGCGUUAAGUUGCAGGGUAUAGACCCGAAACCCGGUGAUCUAGCCAUGGGCAGGUUGAAGGUUGGGUAACACUAACUGGAGGACCGAACCGACUAAUGUUGAAAAAUUAGCGGAUGACCUGUGGCUGGGGGUGAAAGGCCAAUCAAACCGGGAGAUAGCUGGUUCUCCCCGAAAGCUAUUUAGGUAGCGCCUCGUGAAUUCAUCUCCGGGGGUAGAGCACUGUUUCGGCUAGGGGGCCAUCCCGGCUUACCAACCCGAUGCAAACUGCGAAUACCGGAGAAUGUUAUCACGGGAGACACACGGCGGGUGCUAACGUCCGUCGUGAAGAGGGAAACAACCCAGACCGCCAGCUAAGGUCCCAAAGUCAUGGUUAAGUGGGAAACGAUGUGGGAAGGCCCAGACAGCCAGGAUGUUGGCUUAGAAGCAGCCAUCAUUUAAAGAAAGCGUAAUAGCUCACUGGUCGAGUCGGCCUGCGCGGAAGAUGUAACGGGGCUAAACCAUGCACCGAAGCUGCGGCAGCGAACGUAUCACCCAAGACAACUUUGCGGAGUUGACGAUUGACGGAGCGAAGCGACGUCAAUGCGUUUUACAAAGUCGAGUUGGCUUAGGGAUACGUUCGUUGGGUAGGGGAGCGUUCUGUAAGCCUG
RNAcentral lists this ribosomal RNA (1296 nucleotides) under Salmonella enterica subsp. enterica serovar Ank. Its description in RNAcentral is "partial 23S ribosomal RNA". It matches the Rfam family "Bacterial large subunit ribosomal RNA", at positions 1 to 1251 of the family's 2925-position model. The record is from RNAcentral. Lineage: Bacteria; Pseudomonadati; Pseudomonadota; Gammaproteobacteria; Enterobacterales; Enterobacteriaceae.